RNAcentral lists this ribosomal RNA (537 nucleotides) under uncultured Alkanindiges sp. Its description in RNAcentral is "bacterial SSU rRNA". It matches the Rfam family "Bacterial small subunit ribosomal RNA", at positions 87 to 619 of the family's 1533-position model. Lineage: Bacteria; Pseudomonadati; Pseudomonadota; Gammaproteobacteria; Moraxellales; Moraxellaceae. The record is from RNAcentral.
UAUAUUUAGUGGCGAACGGGUGAGUAAUGCCUAGGAAUCUGCCCAUUAGCGGGGGAUAACGUGUGGAAACGCACGCUAAUACCGCAUACGCCCUACGGGGGAAAGCAGGGGAUCUUCGGACCUUGCACUAAUGGAUGAGCCUAGGUCGGAUUAGCUAGUUGGUAGGGUAAAGGCCUACCAAGGCUACGAUCUGUAGCGGGUCUGAGAGGAUGAUCCGCCACACUGGAACUGAGACACGGUCCAGACUCCUACGGGAGGCAGCAGUGGGGAAUAUUGGACAAUGGGCGAAAGCCUGAUCCAGCCAUGCCGCGUGUGUGAAGAAGGCCUUUUGGUUGUAAAGCACUUUAAGCGAGGAGGAGGGUACUCUGGUUAAUACCUAGAUGUAUCGGACGUUACUCGCAGAAUAAGCACCGGCUAACUCUGUGCCAGCAGCCGCGGUAAUACAGAGGGUGCGAGCGUUAAUCGGAAUUACUGGGCGUAAAGCGCGCGUAGGCGGUUAUGUAAGUUGGAUGUGAAAUCCCCGGGCUUAACCUGGGC